GCUUAUAUACAGGUGCUGCAUGGCUGUCGUCAGCUCGUGUCGUGAGAUGUUGGGUUAAGUCCCGCAACGAGCGCAACCCUUUUCCUUAUUUGCCAGCGGGUUAAGCCGGGAACUUUAAGGAUACUGCCAGUUACAAACUGGAGGAAGGCGGGGACGACGUCAAGUCAUCAUGGCCCUUACGACCAGGGCUACACACGUG
RNAcentral lists this ribosomal RNA (199 nucleotides) under Aplanochytrium stocchinoi. RNAcentral describes it as "partial Bacterial small subunit ribosomal RNA". It matches the Rfam family "Bacterial small subunit ribosomal RNA", at positions 1026 to 1224 of the family's 1533-position model. Lineage: Eukaryota; Bigyra; Thraustochytrida; Thraustochytriidae. The record is from RNAcentral.